Molecule: ribosomal RNA, 271 nt
Filed under: uncultured bacterium
Lineage: Bacteria
Description: partial 16S ribosomal RNA
Rfam family: Bacterial small subunit ribosomal RNA
Source: RNAcentral
UGCGUAGGGCGCAAGCGUUGUCCGGAAUUAUUGGGCGUAAAGAGCUCGUAGGCGGUUUGUCGCGUCUGCUGUGAAAGCCCGGGGCUCAACCCCGGGUCUGCAGUGGGUACGGGCAGACUAGAGUGCAGUAGGGGAGACUGGAAUUCCUGGUGUAGCGGUGAAAUGCGCAGAUAAUCAGGAGGACACCGAUGGCGAAGGCAGGUCUCUGGGCUGUUACUGACGCUGAGGAGCGAAAGCAUGGGGAGCGAACAGGAUUAGAUACCCGGCGUAG